This 21-nucleotide microRNA is filed under the name Marchantia polymorpha subsp. ruderalis. Lineage: Eukaryota; Viridiplantae; Streptophyta; Marchantiopsida; Marchantiales; Marchantiaceae. The record is from RNAcentral.
CCUCUCGACUGUGAUGGAUCU